UCAGUGAAUCAUCGAAUCUUUGAACGCACAUUGCGCCCUCUGGUAUUCCAGAGGGCAUGCCUGUUCGAGCGUCAU
RNAcentral lists this ribosomal RNA (75 nucleotides) under Cytospora chrysosperma. Its description in RNAcentral is "Valsa sordida 5.8S ribosomal RNA". It matches the Rfam family "5.8S ribosomal RNA", at positions 81 to 154 of the family's 154-position model. From Rfam's summary of the family: 5.8S ribosomal RNA (5.8S rRNA) is a component of the large subunit of the eukaryotic ribosome. It is transcribed by RNA polymerase I as part of the 45S precursor that also contains 18S and 28S rRNA. The record is from RNAcentral. Lineage: Eukaryota; Fungi; Ascomycota; Sordariomycetes; Diaporthales; Cytosporaceae.